ACUCCUACGGGAGGAGCAGUGGGGAAUUUUGGACAAUGGGGGAAACCCUGAUCCAGCCAUGCCGCGUGCGGGAAGAAGGCCUUCGGGUUGUAAACCGCUUUUGGCAGGAACGAAACGGCGCGCGCUAAUACCGCGCGCUAAUGACGGUACCUGCAGAAUAAGCACCGGCUAACUACGUGCCAGCAGCCGCGGUAAU
This 196-nucleotide ribosomal RNA is filed under the name uncultured bacterium. RNAcentral's name for it is "partial 16S ribosomal RNA". It matches the Rfam family "Bacterial small subunit ribosomal RNA", at positions 335 to 524 of the family's 1533-position model. The record is from RNAcentral.